This 1753-nucleotide long non-coding RNA is filed under the name Panax ginseng (ginseng). RNAcentral describes it as "long non-coding RNA (PGIN_LNC015875)". Lineage: Eukaryota; Viridiplantae; Streptophyta; Magnoliopsida; Apiales; Araliaceae. The record is from RNAcentral.
GUUCUUGGGCAAUGAGACUAUUGUCCCCAAUCCUCCUGCCUGGGACAAACGCAGAUUGAGCAUUAGGGAUCAAAGAAGGAAGCAUAGGCUUAAGUCUAGCAGCAAUAAUUUUGAAAAUAUAUCUAUAAUAGUUUUAACAUUAAACUAUUAUUUAUUCUUAUUUUAAUUAUACUUAUUACUACUAAUGAUGUAAGUUAUAUAUUUGUAAUAAAUUAAUAAUUAAAUGGAAUUUCAAAAGUUUAACGAGUAUAUCUCUUGUUCUGAAAUAAAAUAAAAUUACACCUUAUGAUCACCAUAAAUUAAUUAGUACUCGUACCUUAUUCAAAUGAACCAAAUAAAAAAAAAUUCUAAAUAAUUUGUACUUUAUCAAAUGUCUCAUUCUAGGCUUGAUAACCACACAUCAAAUGAUUCAUAAUCAAAUGAAUAGUUGCUCCCUUAUUUCCACAUAGAAGAAGAGUAAUUACACUUUAUACCAAUUUAAAUUAUAUAUGUCCACUAUAUAAUGAAUUUUGUCAAGCUUAUAGAUGACCCCAAAAAAAUCCACAAUGUAUAAAAUAAGGUGUACUUUUUAACAAAUAUGUCUCUUGCAACCUACAAAUAGCCUUGUAUUUGAAUUAUUUGGAGCAAGUGAAAUAAAAGUGUUCUCAAAUAUUCUCUAAAGUCAUAUUUUUCUUCUCAAAUAAAAUACAUGCCCUAUUCCAUUUCCCUCAUAUAAUCUGCUAUUGAUUUCAAAAAAAAUACUUGGUAGAAACAAAAUACUUUAAAAAGAGAAACAAUUACAAAAUGAAUAUAAUAUAUACUUAUUUAUUAUUCUAUAAUUGGUUUAACCCUCCCCGGGUCAGCUGACCGCUAUAAGAGUUUUGGAAUGACUAACAAUUUGAUGUACAAUAAAGAUAAGAAAACCAUAUGUUUAUUGCGAAAAAAAGUACGAAUAUAGCAUAUUAGUACCUAUAAUUUGUGAUGAACAUAUUUGAUUUGACGAUGAUAUUCAAGUAGUUUUUGUAAAGUUCUUGUGAAAUAAAUCUUAUGUAGAAAGACUUAGUUUAGAAAUCAAAAAUGUUAGGUUGAUUCAAUUUCAUAGAGAUAAACUCUGUAAUAGCUAACUAAAAAAUAUUAUAAUCCCUGCAAACAAACAUACCCUUAAAAGUCUAAUAGGGAAGUGAGCAUGUUCUUAGUAUUGCUCAUGCAGGACCACAGCCAGGUGUCACCUUGAGAGGCUUCGCCUUUGUUUGAAAAGGGGGAUGAUCAUGGAAAAGGAAAAUGAGGUCACCAUAUUUCCCGAUGGUUCCUCUCGGGUGCUUGGGCCCUUAUCCUUAGUUCGCCUUAUGUUAUGAAGGUCUCUUGUCUUGGCAACCUGAAAGGCCCUAGAGGUUCGUGUUCGUGGUAGGUAUGUCCUGACAGUCACUCCUCUCCAACGAGAAUUCCUCAUCCAAAGUCGUAGUUGUUUUCAACGACACCAACACCUCCUCCAUAACAACAACCACCAACACCAAAAAUAGGAAGAGAAACUCCUCUUAAUCGGUCAAAGAUUUCUCCAAAUUUAUAGAACUCUUAUAAGCCAAAGACAAUUGAUUUGGCUCUCCGCCAUCUCUGUAUCGUUGAUCCAGAUCUGCAUUCUCCUUCUCCUCCUUUCAUGUUUUUCUUCUUCUCCUCAAGCCCUAAAUUUGGUGCAUUUGAAGAAGAUGGAUAAUGGGUUUGUAAUUACUUAGCCUAAAAAAUACAAUCAACUUGCACAACAAUUGUAAGACCCCAA